AUGCUUCUUAACCUGAAAAGCUGUAGUUCUACCACUUCUUUUCUUUUUCCUUUCCUUUGUUUUCAAGAGCUUCUGUGUUAGAAAAAGGAAGAGGAGUGGGAAUUAUGAGGUUCCAACUUGAGAUCAUCUUUACAUCUAUGAUAUUGCCAUUCUAGAAGGAACGGAGUGUAAAAGGUUUUUUUCAGAACUGACAGAGGAAAACAACAACAACCAACCAUGCUAUAUUGGGUUUUAGGAGGUUUCAUGCAAGAGGCUUGUUUGGAUUGUUGCUGUGUAUUCCUGGAGAAACCUCAUGUGCACAGCUGUGACCUUUGUCAGAUUUUGAGUUUCACAGGAAGUUACAGCAAAUGGAGUUGCUAUGCCAUCUCAGGAAAAACAUCUUGGUCUGCUACUACCUGCUGUUUUGGUAGUACCUACUGUUGUGCUGUUUUGCACACAUACCCUUGGGAC
Long non-coding RNA from Tympanuchus pallidicinctus (lesser prairie-chicken), 450 nucleotides. RefSeq lists it as uncharacterized. The transcript is spliced from 3 exons. The record is from RefSeq and is a predicted model, not a curated record. NCBI's taxonomy places the organism in Eukaryota, Metazoa, Chordata, Aves, Galliformes, Phasianidae.